AUGCCCAAUGGGGCCCAAGCUCCGACUGAGGAGGGUGAGGCGAGUGGGGGCGAGAGCCAGGGAGAGGAGGAAUGGGACUCGGACAUUGCAGAGGAUGAUGACGACGAUGAUGAUGACGACGGUGAUGAAGAUGACGUUGAGGACGAGGAAGAAGAGGAGGAGGAGGUCGUACCACCGCGUUCAGAAAGGCGGUCGAAGCUUGUCCACGACCCUUCGACUGAACAUGGCAAGGGGGUUGUGACCGUUGCCCAGUCGACCAAACGCCCUCGGACCACCUCUCCGGUGCCGACUGAAAAGGCGCCGAAGCAGCCCAGGGCGGCCUCGUCGAAGCCGACCAAGCUCCUGCCGAAGAUGAAGGUGUCCAUCCCCACCAUAUCAGGGUAA
RNAcentral lists this ribosomal RNA (384 nucleotides) under Triticum aestivum (bread wheat). Its description in RNAcentral is "partial small subunit ribosomal RNA". The record is from RNAcentral. Lineage: Eukaryota; Viridiplantae; Streptophyta; Magnoliopsida; Poales; Poaceae.